UUGGUUAACAGAAUGCUGGGAGAAAUAGCUACGCCCCCCUUGCAAUGGAGACAAAACAUAAGUACGAAAUUAAAAGCAAAGUAAAUACAGAAUUCACAAUGAUAGCUUGAUGGUGGCAGUUCUAUCACUGCCAUGCUUCAAAACAACCACUGAAGAAUAUAGGCAUAGGAAUUAGAAAAGCCAUGUAGAAUCCUAUGAAUAACUACAAAUAUGUCAUCUAGAAAGAAACAAGUGAAAUUCAUUUUCAACAUGUUCAAAAGACCGAUGAAGUAGAAUAUUUGAAAACUUGAAGAGUGAAAUCCAUAAACUGUGAUAAUAUUGUUUGUCAUGGCCAAAAAACAAACAAUGCACCAUAUAUUUUUGAAAUAAAUGCACUGCCU
This 380-nucleotide unclassified non-coding RNA is filed under the name Hevea brasiliensis (rubber tree). Lineage: Eukaryota; Viridiplantae; Streptophyta; Magnoliopsida; Malpighiales; Euphorbiaceae. The record is from RNAcentral.